GACGAACGCUGGCGGCGUGCCUAAUACAUGCAAGUUGAGCGAUGAAGAUUGGUGCUUGCACCAAUUUGAAGAGCAGCGAACGGGUGAGUAACGCGUGGGGAAUCUGCCUUUGAGCGGGGGACAACAUUUGGAAACGAAUGCUAAUACCGCAUAACAACUUUAAACAUAAGUUUUAAGUUUGAAAGAUGCAAUUGCAUCACUCAAAGAUGAUCCCGCGUUGUAUUAGCUAGUUGGUGAGGUAAAGGCUCACCAAGGCGAUGAUACAUAGCCGACCUGAGAGGGUGAUCGGCCACAUUGGGACUGAGACACGGCCCAAACUCCUACGGGAGGCAGCAGUAGGGGAUCUUCGGCAAUGGACGAAAGUCUGACCGAGCAACGCCGCGUGAGGGAAGAAGGUUCUCGGAUCGUAAAACUCUGUUGGUAGAGAAGAACGUUGGUGAGAGUGGAAAGCUCAUCAAGUGACGGUAACUACCCAGAAAGGGACGGCUAACUACGUG
Molecule: ribosomal RNA, 497 nt
Filed under: uncultured bacterium
Lineage: Bacteria
Description: partial 16S ribosomal RNA
Rfam family: Bacterial small subunit ribosomal RNA
Source: RNAcentral